This 227-nucleotide long non-coding RNA is filed under the name Helianthus annuus (common sunflower). RNAcentral's name for it is "sRNA HanXRQr2_Chr03g0114831". The record is from RNAcentral. Lineage: Eukaryota; Viridiplantae; Streptophyta; Magnoliopsida; Asterales; Asteraceae.
UGCACGCUAGCUAAUUCACGUUAUUGGAACGACACUACGGAAUCACACUAAGCUAGCUUUGCACAGGAAUAUCCAGGUUGCAUUUUCAAAACUAUGGAACGGUUGGAAUAGGAGAACCCAUGGGAAUUCAAGUACUUAGCGGCGUUCAUUUUCUAGAAGUCUUAGCUAAUUGCUUCCGCUGUGCAAUGAAGAUACCGGUCCAGUUUCAGCGAAUUAGGUUUCUGUAG